Molecule: ribosomal RNA, 440 nt
Filed under: uncultured bacterium
Lineage: Bacteria
Description: partial 16S ribosomal RNA
Rfam family: Bacterial small subunit ribosomal RNA
Source: RNAcentral
CCUACGGGCGGCAGCAGUGGGGAAUAUUGCACAAUGGGGGGAACCUUGAUGCAGCAACGCCGCGUGGGUGAAGGAGUACUCCGGUAUGUAAAGCCCUGUCAGCAGGGAAGAAAAUGACGGUACCUGACCAAGAAGCCCCGGCUAACUACGUGCAAGCAGCCGCGGUAAUAAGAAGGGGGCAAGCGUUAUCCGGAUUUACUGGGUGUAAAGGGGGCGUAGACGGCAAGGCAAGUCUGGAGUGAAAGCCCGUGGCCCAACCACGGGACUGCUUUGGAAACUGUGUUGCUGGAGAGCAGGAGGGGUAAGCGGAAUUCCGGGUGUAGCGGUGAAAUGCGUAGAUAUUAGGAGGAACACCGGUGGCGAAGGCGGCUUACUGGACUGUAACUGACGUUGAGGCUCGAAGGCGUGGGGAGCAAACAGGAUUAGAUACCCUUGUAGUC